GCUACGGGUGGCUGCAGUGGGGGAUAUUGGACAAUGGGGGAAACCCUGAUCAAGCGACGCCGCGUGAGUGAAGAAGUAUUUCGGUAUGUAAAGCUCUAUCAGCAGGGAAGAAAGAAAUGACGGUACCUGAGUAAGAAGCCCCGGCUAACUACGUGCCAGCAGCCGCGGUAAUACGUAGGGGGCAAGCGUUAUCCGGAUUUAUUGGGUUUAAAGGGUGCGCAGGCGGAAUGUCAAGUCAGCGGUAAAAUUUCGGGGCUCAACCCCGUCGUGCCGUUGAAACUGGCGUUCUUGAGUGAGCGAGAAGUAUGCGGAAUGCGUGGUGUAGCGGUGAAAUGCAUAGAUAUCACGCAGAACUCCGAUUGCGAAGGCAGCAUACCGGCGCUCAACUGACGCUCAUGCACGAAAGCGUGGGUAUCGAACAGGAUUAGAUACCCUUGUAGUC
RNAcentral lists this ribosomal RNA (442 nucleotides) under uncultured bacterium. RNAcentral describes it as "partial 16S ribosomal RNA". It matches the Rfam family "Bacterial small subunit ribosomal RNA", at positions 338 to 795 of the family's 1533-position model. The record is from RNAcentral.